GCCACCCUAGCUCAGUUGGUAGAGCACACGACUGAAAAUCGUGGUGUCCCCAGUUCGAUUCUGGGGGGUGGCACCA
This 76-nucleotide transfer RNA is filed under the name bacterium. RNAcentral describes it as "tRNA-Phe". It matches the Rfam family "tRNA". From Rfam's summary of the family: Transfer RNA (tRNA) molecules are approximately 80 nucleotides in length. RNAcentral also lists the same sequence under 1 other name. The record is from RNAcentral.